This 1078-nucleotide ribosomal RNA is filed under the name Campylobacter coli. RNAcentral describes it as "partial 23S ribosomal RNA". It matches the Rfam family "Bacterial large subunit ribosomal RNA", at positions 90 to 1188 of the family's 2925-position model. Lineage: Bacteria; Pseudomonadati; Campylobacterota; Epsilonproteobacteria; Campylobacterales; Campylobacteraceae. The record is from RNAcentral.
CAAGAAGCUUUGAUCCGUAGAUUUCCGAAUGGGGCAACCCAAUGUAUAGAGAUAUACAUUACCUAUAUAGGAGCGAACGAGGGGAAUUGAAACAUCUUAGUACCCUCAGGAAAAGAAAUCAAUAGAGAUUGCGUCAGUAGCGGCGAGCGAAAGCGCAAGAGGGCAAACCCAGUGCUUGCACUGGGGGUUGUAGGACUGCAAUGUGCAAGAGGUGAGUUUAGCAGAACAUUCUGGAAAGUAUAGCCAUAGAGGGUGAUAGUCCCGUAUGCGAAAAACAAACCUUAGCUAGCAGUAUCCUGAGUAGGGCGGGACACGAGAAAUCCUGUCUGAAGCUGGGUCGACCACGAUCCAACCCUAAAUACUAAUACCAGAUCGAUAGUGCACAAGUACCGUGAGGGAAAGGUGAAAAGAACUGAGGUGAUCAGAGUGAAAUAGAACCUGAAACCAUUUGCUUACAAUCAUUCAGAGCCCUAUGUAGCAAUACAGGGUGAUGGACUGCCUUUUGCAUAAUGAGCCUGCGAGUUGUGGUGUCUGGCAAGGUUAAGCAAACGCGAAGCCGUAGCGAAAGCGAGUCUGAAUAGGGCGCUUAGUCAGAUGCUGCAGACCCGAAACGAAGUGAUCUAUCCAUGAGCAAGUUGAAGCUAGUGUAAGAACUAGUGGAGGACUGAACCCAUAGGCGUUGAAAAGCCCCGGGAUGACUUGUGGAUAGGGGUGAAAGGCCAAUCAAACUUCGUGAUAGCUGGUUCUCUCCGAAAUAUAUUUAGGUAUAGCGUUGUGUCGUAAUAUAAGGGGGUAGAGCACUGAAUGGGCUAGGGCAUACACCAAUGUACCAAACCCUAUCAAACUCCGAAUACCUUAUAUGUAAUCACAGCAGUCAGGCGGCGAGUGAUAAAAUCCGUCGUCAAGAGGGAAACAACCCAGACUACCAGCUAAGGUCCCUAAAUCUUACUUAAGUGGAAAACGAUGUGAAGUUACUUAAACAACCAGGAGGUUGGCUUAGAAGCAGCCAUCCUUUAAAGAAAGCGUAAUAGCUCACUGGUCUAGUGAUUUUGCGCGGAAAAUAUAACGGGGCUAAAGU